RNAcentral lists this unclassified non-coding RNA (313 nucleotides) under uncultured fungus. Its description in RNAcentral is "partial contains 5.8S ribosomal RNA and internal transcribed spacer 2". The stretch from base 1 to 133 matches the Rfam family "5.8S ribosomal RNA", at positions 22 to 154 of the family's 154-position model. Lineage: Eukaryota; Fungi. The record is from RNAcentral.
UGGUUCUGGCAUCGAUGAAGAACGCAGCGAAAUGCGAUAAGUAAUGUGAAUUGCAGAAUUCAGUGAAUCAUCGAAUCUUUGAACGCACAUUGCGCCCCUUGGUAUUCCGGGGGGCAUGCCUGUUCGAGCGUCAUUUCAACCCUCAAGCCCUGCUUGGUGUUGGGCCUGGCCACUGUCGGCCGGCCUUAAAACCAGUGGCGGUGCCAUCUGGCCCUGAGCGCAGUAAAUCUCUCGCUACGGGGCUCGCGUGGACGCCUGCCAUGAACCUCACACUCAUCUGGUUGACCUCGGAUCAGGUAGGGAUACCCGCUGA